GUUCUGUAAAAAGUUGCUGAACUCCUCCAAUUGAUGAGGAUGUAAUCAUCUCCCCUUAAUAUCCAUAAUGUCUAAUUGUCUUCUCACAAAGAAUGCCUCCUCUUAUUUCAAGGAGUCUGGCCCCAGAAAUGGUGUCAACAUCAACACAAGAGCAAGAAGAUGAGUUUAGAGCACUCCUGCUGAGAUGGGGUUAUGUGAACCUCAUUCCGCAUUGGGUAGUGGGGACAGCAAGAGUAUCUCAUUUUCUGAGGAAGAAGAGAGAGUGGGCCAGCUGGCAGCUCCUGAAGACCACAGGGAACAGGAAAAGAGCCAACUGGAGCAGAUAGGCAAAAGGGUUGGGAGGUGCUUGGGGAGAGAGCGUGGGAAUGGGCAAAGAGAAGUCUUCAGAGGUAUCAUGGGAGUCACUGCACAAAGGUCUGAUCCUUCAGUUACUCUUCUGGGACAGGGUCUGCAGCCCAACUGCAUCUGUCAAGAUGGACUGUGGUGAAAGCCCUGCUCUGAUCGAUAGAGCUGAG
RNAcentral lists this long non-coding RNA (515 nucleotides) under Apteryx rowi (Okarito brown kiwi). Its description in RNAcentral is "lncRNA (ENSARWG00000008383.1)". Lineage: Eukaryota; Metazoa; Chordata; Aves; Apterygiformes; Apterygidae. The record is from RNAcentral.